GCAACUAGCUCGAACGGUAGAGCGCCUGGUUAACGCCCAGGAGGUACAGGGAUCGAUCCCCGCUCAGCACGCCA
This is a non-coding RNA of Aphanomyces cochlioides, 74 nucleotides long. The record is from the annotation of a GenBank genome assembly. Lineage: Eukaryota; Oomycota; Saprolegniomycetes; Saprolegniales; Verrucalvaceae.